AUUUAGCUGACGAGUCCCAACUGGGACGAAACUCGUAUCCUGGAU
Molecule: non-coding RNA, 45 nt
Organism: Schistosoma haematobium
Lineage: Eukaryota; Metazoa; Platyhelminthes; Trematoda; Strigeidida; Schistosomatidae
Source: Rfam